Molecule: long non-coding RNA, 469 nt
Filed under: Mus spicilegus (steppe mouse)
Lineage: Eukaryota; Metazoa; Chordata; Mammalia; Rodentia; Muridae
Description: lncRNA (ENSMSIG00000018057.1)
Source: RNAcentral
GUCAUGGGAGCGGUUCCUUUGCUGGAGUCUCCAGCAAGUGGUGCCCAAGGGAUGCAGUGCAAGCAGAGUUUGGAGUUUGCGGCCGGUUUCCAGGACUGACAAGGAGGCUCACGGGAUGCAGGUCACGCUGCAUCUGGAAGAUCAUCUCUGGGCUUGGUGUGUCUCAAAAUCAUCAGGCAAAGUGGCCCUGUCUCAGGGCGAUUCUGGAAAGUGCUCAGUCCACCCCAGUAUCUUCACCUGAGCAUUCUACUUUGUUGACUGGAUCUGGCUCAUCAAGGGCUGAGGAAGUUCUUCAGGCAGAAUGAGGAAGAUACAUAGAUGAACUAUCUGGAUAAGGAAAAGAGGAAGAACAUUUGAGACAAAUGGAUAGCUGGCAUGAAGUUUCCUCUUCUCCAGAACUAAGGGCUGCCACCUGUUCAGAGAACAAGUUCACUCUGGCUAGAAGUACAACACCUGGUCCCCUUUCCUU